This 926-nucleotide ribosomal RNA is filed under the name uncultured Bacteroidota bacterium. RNAcentral's name for it is "bacterial SSU rRNA". It matches the Rfam family "Bacterial small subunit ribosomal RNA", at positions 1 to 917 of the family's 1533-position model. The record is from RNAcentral. Lineage: Bacteria; Pseudomonadati; Bacteroidota.
UGGAUCCAGACUUUGAUCAUGGCUCAGGAUGAACGCUAGCUACAGGCUUAACACAUGCAAGUCGAGGGGAAAUGACAUCGAAAGCUUGCUUUUGAUGGGCGUCGACCGGCGCACGGGUGAGUAACGCGUAUCCAACCUGCCCAUCACUUGGGAAUAACCUUGCGAAAGUAAGACUAAUACCCAAUGAUAUCCCACGAAGGCAUCCGAAUGGGAUUAAAGAUUUAUCGGUGAUGGAUGGGGAUGCGUCUGAUUAGCUUGUUGGUGGGGUAACGGCCCACCAAGGCAACGAUCAGUAGGGGUUCUGAGAGGAAGGUCCCCCACAUUGGAACUGAGACACGGUCCAAACUCCUACGGGAGGCAGCAGUGAGGAAUAUUGGUCAAUGGGCGAGAGCCUGAACCAGCCAAGUAGCGUGCAGGAAGACGGCCCUAUGGGUUGUAAACUGCUUUUAUAAGGGAAUAAAGUGGGUCACGUGUGACUUUUUGCAUGUACCUUAUGAAUAAGGACCGGCUAAUUCCGUGCCAGCAGCCGCGGUAAUACGGAAGGUCCGGGCGUUAUCCGGAUUUAUUGGGUUUAAAGGGAGCGUAGGCCGGAGAUUAAGCGUGUUGUGAAAUGUAGAGGCUCAACCUCUGCACUGCAGCGCGAACUGGUCUUCUUGAGUACGCACAACGUGGGCGGAAUUCGUGGUGUAGCGGUGAAAUGCUUAGAUAUCACGAAGAACUCCGAUUGCGAAGGCAGCUCACGGGAGCGCAACUGACGCUGAAGCUCAAAAGUGCGGGUAUCGAACAGGAUUAGAUACCCUGGUAGUCCGCACGGUAAACGAUGGAUGCCCGCUGUUGGCCUGAAUAGGUCAGCGGCCAAGCGAAAGCAUUAAGCAUCCCACCUGGGGAGUACGCCGGCAACGGUGCAACUCAAAGGAAUUGACGGA